UCAUUGUCACUUUUUUUCGGAAUGGAUUACAAGUUUCUAUGUUUUUUUUAUUUUUUUUAUUUGUAAAUUUUUAAAAGCUAAAUUAGUAAUUUGGCAUAGAACCAUAUUAUAUAUGAAUUUGAUUCUCUUGUAGUUGUCAAUAUGAUCAAACAAUGAGUAGCUCGUGUUAGAGUAUUAUCUGAGUUAAAUGUCUCAUAUUGGAUCAAAAAAUGAUUGUUGGGCAACAUAUAUGUG
This 234-nucleotide long non-coding RNA is filed under the name Lathyrus oleraceus (garden pea). RNAcentral's name for it is "Pisum sativum (pea) long non-coding RNA (PSAT_LNC033948)". Lineage: Eukaryota; Viridiplantae; Streptophyta; Magnoliopsida; Fabales; Fabaceae. The record is from RNAcentral.